GCGUGAUUGCAGAUUCCGUGAAUCAUCGAGUCUUUGAACGCACAUUGCGCCCCCUGGUAUUCCGGGGGGCAUGCCUGUCCGAGCGUCAUUGCUGCCCAUCAAGCACGGCUUGUGUGUUGGGUCGUCGUCCCCUCUCCGGGGGGGACGGGCCCCAAAGGCAGCGGCGGCACCGCGUCCGAUCCUCGAGCGUAUGGGGCUUUGUCACCCGCUCUGUAGGCCCGGCCGGCGCUUGCCGAACGCAAAUCAAUCUUUUCCAGGUUGACCUCGGAUCAGGUAGGGAUACCCGCUGAACUUAAGCAUAUCAAUAAGCGGAGGAAUCUU
This 321-nucleotide ribosomal RNA is filed under the name Fusarium solani. RNAcentral's name for it is "eukaryotic LSU rRNA". The stretch from base 1 to 88 matches the Rfam family "5.8S ribosomal RNA", at positions 65 to 154 of the family's 154-position model. Lineage: Eukaryota; Fungi; Ascomycota; Sordariomycetes; Hypocreales; Nectriaceae. The record is from RNAcentral.